Zea mays is the source of this 664-nucleotide long non-coding RNA. RefSeq lists it as uncharacterized. NCBI's taxonomy places the organism in Eukaryota, Viridiplantae, Streptophyta, Magnoliopsida, Poales, Poaceae. The transcript is spliced from 2 exons. The record is from RefSeq and is a predicted model, not a curated record.
GGCCAGCCUACUUUUCUCCUACGCAGCCCAACUCACGCCUCAACUUGGCGCUGAAUGCAGACUUCGCGCGCGUAUCCACUGAAUGCCUCUGCUCAUUAGCACGCGGGCCCAAGCCUCCAGACUCCCCUUCCCCUUUACGCUUGCCUGAACGACCGACUACAUGGAUCCCGCGCGGGAUUCGCAGGGCAGUUCCAACCACCUCGCUGUGUCCCUUGACCCUCCACCCAUAAACCGGAAUCGGAGCCAGACACAGAGAACAGAGAAGUCGCCGUUGGUGCCGAAGAGAAGAUGGAGCCAUCUUGGUCGACUCAUGCGUACAUCGCUGCUCCACCUUCGGAGGUUUGCCAUGGACGAUCUCUAGGGUUCGCGUAACGUAUCCGUGGUGGUUGCGGGAGUGAUGGGCUGUUGGGGUGGCUGGGAUUCAUCACCGGAGACUCAGAGCCGCGCCACAGCAUAGGCGGCACCACUAGCGUCCUCGCUUCAGGUCAAGAACAGGUACUGCCAAGAUGAGGAGCAUGAAGGAUGACGUGAUGAGUUCGUGAGAGCUAGACUGUCAUCUCCCAAUCAACUAUGGUCGUGGAGGAUCGUUGUCAUCAUAUGAUGUAAUUAUUUAGCUAUUUUGUACAGAACCUCUAUUAUAUAAUAAAGAUGUGACAUUGAUUUA